This 77-nucleotide transfer RNA is filed under the name Rickettsiales bacterium. RNAcentral describes it as "tRNA-Arg". It matches the Rfam family "tRNA". Rfam says of the family: Transfer RNA (tRNA) molecules are approximately 80 nucleotides in length. Their secondary structure includes four short double-helical elements and three loops (D, anti-codon, and T loops). Further hydrogen bonds mediate the characteristic L-shaped molecular structure. tRNAs have two regions of fundamental functional importance: the anti-codon, which is responsible for specific mRNA codon recognition, and the 3' end, to which the tRNAs corresponding amino acid is attached (by aminoacyl-tRNA synthetases). tRNAs cope with the degeneracy of the genetic code in two manners: having more than one tRNA (with a specific anti-codon) for a particular amino acid; and 'wobble' base-pairing, i.e. permitting non-standard base-pairing at the 3rd anti-codon position. The record is from RNAcentral. Lineage: Bacteria; Pseudomonadati; Pseudomonadota; Alphaproteobacteria; Rickettsiales.
GGUCUAGUAGCUCAGUUGGAUAGAGCAACGGCCUUCUAAGCCGUGGGUCGCAGGUUCGAAUCCUGCCUGGAUCACCA